RNAcentral lists this long non-coding RNA (1539 nucleotides) under Callithrix jacchus (white-tufted-ear marmoset). RNAcentral describes it as "lncRNA (ENSCJAG00000070467.1)". Lineage: Eukaryota; Metazoa; Chordata; Mammalia; Primates; Cebidae. The record is from RNAcentral.
GGCUUCUGUCCUGACCUGUCUCUUGGCCAUGCAAUAAUCCAUAUGGUAAUCUAAGCAGGGCAGGUUUGGCCCAGGGAGUGGAGGUCUGCACUUGCCAGGACUGCAUGUGUCAGGGCUGGAGUGCAAUGGCAUGAUCUUGGCUCACUGCAACCUCCGCCUCCUGGGUUCAAGCUAUCCUGCUGCCUCAGCCCCUCGAGUAGCUGGAAUUACAGAUACUUUUGCCUUAUUGGAAGAAGUUUCAUAAUAAUUGCUGGCUCUCACCUAUGGCAACUCAGUUAUUUCCUUCAGAUUUUGACCUCAAGAAAUCCCAGGCAAUAUCAUACUGAAUGGGCAAAAACUGGAAGCAUUCACUUUGAAAACUGGCACAAGAAAGACAAGGAUGUCCUCUCUCACCACUCCGAUUCAACAUAGUAUUGGAAGUUCUGGCCAGGGCAAUCAGUGAGAAGAGGAGGAAAGGAAACUUUUGGAAGAGUGGUUCUGGGCUAAGAGUUGCCCUGUAAAUUUUAGGUGUGUGUUGUGGAGUUCACACAGCUUACACUUUGUUACAUCUGCUACAAGAAGCCCAAGCUACAUGGUGAUGUCCUUUUUGGGCAGUUUGGCUGGCAGUGUCAGCUGAGCCCAGACACUGAAUGUGAGCCCAGACAUUGUGGUUACAGGCGUAGGCCACCAAACUAGCUAGCUCAUAUAGAGACACUCCACACAUACCUGAUGUCUGAGCGAAGAAGCAUGCAGAUGCUUUUUGACCUCUAACAUUUGAGUCACCUUAACUAAGGCAUGGACGGAGAGGCAAGUUACAUCUACAGUCUAAAGUUCUGAUCCACAGAAUAAAGAGCAUCAUAUAAUGUGGUUAUUUUAUGCUAUUAAAAUGGGGUAGCUUGUUCUUCAGGAAGAGAUAACUAGAACACAGGGCUAAAAAUAAAAAUCACCUCAUAGAGAUCUAAGAGCUAAGUCAGAAAAUGAUUAUAGAGAAUCUGGCAGUUUCUAAUAAAUAACAGCUACUCAACAAGGUUAGGCCCUCAUCCAUCAUGUUCAUGUAGUUUGUUCACAUUAAUCCUACUUGACUUAGUGAGUAUGUCUCUUAGCAGAAUCCUACUUUAUUUAGCAAAUAAGAGACACAAGUCCUACGUCUAUCCAAACCCAUCCAUGCCUUCAAAAAUGGCUAGCAUGUUGAAACUCUUUGCCUUUUAUUUUAAAAAAUAGGUUUAAUAUACCAAACAGCUUAUACAUAGAUAAAAAAUUACCCAGAAACAUUUGUGACACAUUCUUUUUAUGAGCAAGCUGAGCGUGGUGGCCCACACCUGUAAUCCCAGCCCUUUUAGAAGCUGAUAUGGGAAGAUUGCUUGAGUCCAGCAGUUUGAGACCAAUCUGGGCAACACAGUGAGACCCUGUCUCUACAAAGAAAUACAGAAAUUAACCAGGCAUCAUGGUGCACACCUUUAGGUCCAGUUACUUGAGGCAGGAGGGUCGCUUGAACAAAGGAAGUUGAAGCUCCACUGAGCUGUAAUUAGGCCACUGCACUCUAGUCUGUGCAACAAAGCA